Molecule: ribosomal RNA, 397 nt
Filed under: Granulicatella adiacens
Lineage: Bacteria; Bacillati; Bacillota; Bacilli; Lactobacillales; Carnobacteriaceae
Description: bacterial SSU rRNA
Rfam family: Bacterial small subunit ribosomal RNA
Source: RNAcentral
GACGAACGCUGGCGGCGUGCCUAAUACAUGCAAGUCGAACGAGAGCGACUGGUGCUUGCACUGGUCAAUCUAGUGGCGAACGGGUGAGUAACACGUGGGUAACCUGCCCAUCAGAGGGGGAUAACAUCCGGAAACGGAUGCUAAAACCGCAUAGGUCCUUUAACCGCAUGGUUGAAGGAGGAAAAGAGGCGCAAGCUUCUGCUGAUGGAUGGACCCGCGGUGCAUUAGCUAGUUGGUGAGGUAACGGCUCACCAAGGCCGUGAUGCAUAGCCGACCUGAGAGGGUGAUCGGCCACAUUGGGACUGAGACACGGCCCAAACUCCUACGGGAGGCAGCAGUAGGGAAUCUUCCGCAAUGGACGCAAGUCUGACGGAGCAACGCCGCGUGAGUGAAGAAG